RNAcentral lists this transfer RNA (68 nucleotides) under Zygometra comata. RNAcentral's name for it is "tRNA-Gly". It matches the Rfam family "tRNA". Rfam says of the family: Transfer RNA (tRNA) molecules are approximately 80 nucleotides in length. Lineage: Eukaryota; Metazoa; Echinodermata; Crinoidea; Comatulida; Himerometridae. The record is from RNAcentral.
AUCUUGUUAGUAUAAAUUUACAUUUGACUUCCAAUCAAAAAACCUUAGUUUAAACCUAAGACAAGAUA